This 301-nucleotide ribosomal RNA is filed under the name uncultured bacterium. RNAcentral's name for it is "partial 16S ribosomal RNA". It matches the Rfam family "Bacterial small subunit ribosomal RNA", at positions 509 to 808 of the family's 1533-position model. The record is from RNAcentral.
CAGCCCCGCGGGAAUACGUAGGUGGCAAGCGUUGUCCGGAAUUAUUGGGCGUAAAGGGCUCGCAGGCGGUUUCUUAAGUCUGAUGUGAAAGCCCCCGGCUCAACCGGGGAGGGUCAUUGGAAACUGGGAAACUUGAGUGCAGAAGAGGAGAGUGGAAUUCCACGUGUAGCGGUGAAAUGCGUAGAGAUGUGGAGGAACACCAGUGGCGAAGGCGACUCUCUGGUCUGUAACUGACGCUGAGGAGCGAAAGCGUGGGGAGCGAACAGGAUUAGAUACCCGCGUAGUCCCUGUCUCUUAUACA